UACGUAGGAUGCAAGCGUUGUUCGGAAUUACUGGGCGUAAAGAGUACGUAGGCGGUUUGAUAAGUCUGAUAUUAAAGACUGAGGCUUAACCUCCGGACUGUAUCGGAAACUGUCAGACUAGAGGACAAUAGAGGAAGUCGGAAUUCUCAGUGUAGCGGUGAAAUGCGUAGAGAUGGGGAAGAACACCAGUGGCGAAGGCGGACUUCUGGGUUGUUACUGACGCUGAGGUACGAAAGCGUGGGGAGCAAACGGG
RNAcentral lists this ribosomal RNA (253 nucleotides) under uncultured bacterium. RNAcentral's name for it is "partial 16S ribosomal RNA". It matches the Rfam family "Bacterial small subunit ribosomal RNA", at positions 524 to 776 of the family's 1533-position model. The record is from RNAcentral.